UACGGGGGGGGCAAGCGUUGUUCGGAAUUACUGGGCGUAAAGGGCUCGUAGGCGGCCAACUAAGUCAGACGUGAAAUCCCUCGGCUUAACCGGGGAACUGCAUCUGAUACUGGAUGGCUUGAGUUUGGGAGAGGGAUGCGGAAUUCCAGGUGUAGCGGUGAAAUGCGUAGUUAUCUGGAGGAACACCGGUGGCGAAGGCGGCAUCCUGGACCAACACUGACGCUGAGGAGCGAAAGCCAGGGGAGCAAACGGG
Molecule: ribosomal RNA, 253 nt
Filed under: uncultured bacterium
Lineage: Bacteria
Description: partial 16S ribosomal RNA
Rfam family: Bacterial small subunit ribosomal RNA
Source: RNAcentral